Chiroxiphia lanceolata (lance-tailed manakin) is the source of this 113-nucleotide long non-coding RNA. RefSeq lists it as uncharacterized. The transcript is spliced from 3 exons. Lineage: Eukaryota; Metazoa; Chordata; Aves; Passeriformes; Pipridae. The record is from RefSeq and is a predicted model, not a curated record.
ACAGACCAGUGUCAGGAGUUAAAGAGCACAGCUGCCUGUCUCAAACACUGUUAAGGCCACAGAAGGACUUUGCCAUGAGAUAAGCACAGAAUGGAGUGACAGGAUGGCACUAA